GCCCCGGGCGGGCGGACGAAGGGGGGGCUCUGGGCCAAGCCAGGUCUAGCCGGAGCGACUGUGCCCCGCCUCCUGGGCGGAGCGGGCGGCUCCCCCAUGGUCAGAGCCUCGUGCCGGCUCGGCAGCGCCCGGACGCCGGGCCCAGCGCGUCGGCGCCCUGGCGUGCGGGCGUCUCACAGCCGCGGAGGGACCGCCGGGACCGUUUCAGCGUGGCGGCGCUGGUGCUGGCGUUGGUCCUGGAGGACGGCCCUGAGUGGUGGCUGGCGCCUGCCUCCCGGGUCUCUCCCGGCUACAGAUGGAGUCGUCCCGCGGCCGCCAGCGGCAAGGUCGGCAGCUGCGAGGCCAAGGGAGACCCCAGGACACACGCAGCUGCCUCCCGGUGCGAGAAGACGACCCCGGCUUGAGAGUGAGGUGUGCUGGGCGGAGUGGGGAGGACCUCGAGGUGCCCCGGCAACCAACCGUGUUCUAACCAACUGGCAAGUGGGAAAAGUUGACAUGAUGGCGUUUAAUGAUUGCUUCAGUUUGAACUACCCUGGCAACCCCUGCCCAGGGGACUUGAUUGAAGUGUUCCGUCCUGGCUAUCAGCACUGGGCCCUGUACUUGGGUGAUGGUUAUGUUAUCAACAUAGCGCCUGUAGAUGGCAUUCCUGCAUCCUUUACAAGCGCCAAGUCUGUAUUCAGCAGUAAGGCCCUGGUGAAAAUGCAGCUCCUGAAGGAUGUUGUGGGAAAUGACACAUACAGAAUAAACAAUAAAUACGAUGAAACAUACCCCCCUCUCCCUGUGGAAGAAAUCAUAAAGCGGUCAGAGUUUGUAAUUGGACAGGAGGUGGCCUAUAACUUACUUGUCAACAACUGUGAACAUUUUGUGACAUUGCUUCGCUAUGGAGAAGGAGUUUCAGAGCAGGCCAACCGAGCGAUAAGUACUGUUGAGUUUGUGACAGCUGCUGUUGGUGUCUUCUCAUUCCUGGGCUUGUUUCCAAAAGGACAAAGAGCAAAAUACUAUUAACAAUUUACCAAAGAGAUAUUGAUAUUGAAGGAAUUUGGGAGGAGGAAAAAAAACCUGGGAUAAUACAACUGAAGGACUCAAAGCCAAUAAAUAAAUGGCAGAGCCAGAAUUCAAAGGAGAAUGGACUACCUCUUGGCCUGUGUACCUUUGACAGCCUAACGGUGUCUACUGAGAAAUGUGCCCUGAAUCACAAAUAUGAGACAGGACAUUUUGGAGGCUAUGUGUCUCUCUUCAUUUUUAUCUUUUCAAACAGAGAGAAGCCUAAGAUUAAAUCAUUCAUCAAAUAAUGUUAGUAUUUCUAAUUCUCCCAAAGCAAAUUCUACCUGGAAUUCAUUCUUCAAGGAGGACAGAGAAAUGUGGAGACAGUCUUUAUCAAGUUGUGAAAUACAGCAAACUGUAAAGGGUUGUUUGGAUUAAAGGGUUGUUUGGAAAAGCUGGGUCAGAGUCUAGCAGAAAACCUGGCUCUUUUUCUCACGGCUGCCACCACUCCGAUCCAGGAGAACUAACUCUUCUCCAUCCCUUGACCUGGAAGGCACUUGAUUUUGAAUGAUAUGUUUAUUAAUUUUGAGAUGGAGUCUUGCUCUCUCAGGCUGGAGUGCAGUGGCACAAUUUCAGCUCA
RNA transcript from Nomascus leucogenys (northern white-cheeked gibbon), 1624 nucleotides. It is a transcript of the gene named phospholipase A and acyltransferase 1, with no coding region annotated. NCBI's taxonomy places the organism in Eukaryota, Metazoa, Chordata, Mammalia, Primates, Hylobatidae. The transcript is spliced from 6 exons. The record is from RefSeq and is a predicted model, not a curated record.